This 373-nucleotide ribosomal RNA is filed under the name uncultured organism. Its description in RNAcentral is "partial 16S ribosomal RNA". It matches the Rfam family "Bacterial small subunit ribosomal RNA", at positions 527 to 896 of the family's 1533-position model. The record is from RNAcentral.
GUAGGUGGCAAGCGUUGUCCGGAAUUAUCGGGCGUAAAGCGCGCGCAGGCGGUUCUUUAAGUCUGAUGUGAAAGCCCACGGCUCAACCGUGGAGGGUCAUUGGAAACUGGAGAACUUGAGUACAGAAGAGGAAAGCGGAAUUCCACGUGUAGCGGCGAAAUGCGUAGAGAUGUGGAGGAACACCAGUGGCGAAGGCGGCUUUCUGGUCUGUAACUGACGCUGAGGCGCGAAAGCGUGGGGAGCAAACAGGGAUUAGAUACCCUGGUAGUCCACGCCGUAAACGAUGAGUGCUAAGUGUUAGGGGGUUUCCGCCCCCUUAGUGCUGCAGCUAACGCAUUAAGCACUCCGCCUGGGGAGUACGGCCGCAAGGCUG